GUGUGCCUUCUAGACCUUCUGAGCCAACACUCAGCACUCCAAGCACUAGGAUUACAGGUCCUAGCGGAGAUUUUGAGGAGUGAGGAGAUAAAAAGCCUUUUUCAGACUAAGGUGGUGCAGCCCUAGGGCUGUGGCUGGACAGAGGCUGUCUGCUGGUGUGAGUAGAGGGGGCAUUCCCAGACAUUAUGGGAACAGAGACGGGAUUUGUGGCCAUAAACGCCAAGAAAACAAGAGGCAAAGAGAGGCAGAUGCCAUGCAGACAAAUGUUGAGGGGUCCAGCCUUACUGUCAAAGGAUCUGCCAGUUCUGCACUGAAAUUUUGAGUGAAGUCUUGCUGGAUAAAGUACAUUCAAAUCAAUGGAAAGUCUGGUUUAAAGGC
Molecule: long non-coding RNA, 378 nt
Organism: Chiroxiphia lanceolata (lance-tailed manakin)
Lineage: Eukaryota; Metazoa; Chordata; Aves; Passeriformes; Pipridae
Exons: 3
Source: RefSeq, a predicted model, not a curated record